CCGGAUGUAGCUGGCCUCAAUGGGGUGUAGGCAGAGACUUCAAGGUAGUGACUGACAUGCAUGGUGCUCAGCGCCAGGAAGUGCUAUCAACAACUGUAUCCUUUGACUGUAGGAGAGGCAAGCGGGAAUUACUAGCUGUUGCGGUGACAUGCGUGGAUAUUGCGAGGAACACCAGUGGCGAAGAUGGCUUGAUUGACGAUAACUGACGAUCAGUCGUGAACGCGUGGGGAGCAAACACGAUUAGAUACCUGGGUAGUCCACGACGUAAGCGACGAGUAGUAGGGGUGGGAGGACCGACCCCCUUCCGGGUUGCAGUUAACACAAUAAGUAUUCCACCCGGGGAGUACGACCGCAAGAUUGAAUAUCAAAGGAAUUGACGGGGGACGCACAAGCAGUGGAUUAUGUGGUUUAAUUCGACGCAACGCGAAGAACCUUACCAGGGUUUGACAUCCAGAGAGUAAAGUAGAGAUACGUUCGGUGGGAUUCCGGGAAAGUGGAGACUGGUGGGGCAUGGUUGUAAUCAGACCGCGUGGUGAGAUGUUGGGUUAGGUCCCGCACAGAGCGCAACCGUUUCUGUUAGUUGUUACGCAAGAGCACUCUAGCGAGACUGCCGUUGACAAAACGGAGGAAGGCGGGGACGACGUCAAAUCAUCAUGCCCUUUAUAUCGUGGGCUACACAGGUAAUACAACGGUUGUAAACAGAGGGAGGCAAUGGAGCGAUCUGGAGCAAAUCCCUAAAAGCCACCUCAGCCAGGAUUGCAGGUUGCAACUUGCAUGCAUGAAGCCGGAACAGCUAGUAAUCGCGGAUACAGC
Molecule: ribosomal RNA, 813 nt
Filed under: uncultured bacterium
Lineage: Bacteria
Description: bacterial SSU rRNA
Rfam family: Bacterial small subunit ribosomal RNA
Source: RNAcentral